AUGUCGAUUAUUCUUAUUUUGAGUAACACGGGAAGAAAAAGAAAGAGGAAAGGAUUUGGUGGGUGUAUUCAGGAAGGGGUGGGGGAGAUAUUUUUUUUCGUUAUCGCCGGAGAAAUCGAUGGUGAAUGGCGAUGGCGGAGUGACAGAGAAGAAGACGAAGGAGAAAGGGCAAUGGGGAUCGCAGAUGACUUAAGCCAAGCUCUAUCUCUCCGUGAUGACAUGAUGGAUACUUCAAGAUCAGAAAGAGGAACAAAUGAGUGUGGCAUUGAACUUAGUGUGGUUGCAGGAUUGCCUUCAGCAAGAAAUUUGAAUGUAGAACUUGAUGAUGCUUUCCUUGAUGCCUCAAUGUCCAAUUAUUGCGAAAGCUUAGUCUUGUCCAUUGUUGAAUACAUAAUUUCUUUUUUGAACGGCAAGCAGGUUGUUGCAGAAAAUCCAAUAUCCCAAGCUAAAGCGGAAUCUGCAAUCCUUCAGGACUCAAUCGUUAAACAGGUUAAUGAAAAUGAAAAAGCUGGAUGGAGAGCUGCACUGAACCCUCAAUUCUUGAAUUUCACGGUUUCCCAAUUUAAGCGCCUUCUUGGAGUUAAGCCCACAAGAAAGGGUGAUUUGAAGGGUAUCCCUAUUUUAACUCAUCCAGAACUUUUGAAGUUACCCCAAGAGUUUGAUGCACGAGUGGCUUGGCCUCAGUGUAGCACUAUUGGGAGAAUUCUUGAUCAGGGACAUUGUGGUUCUUGUUGGGCUUUUGGUGCUGCUGAGUCGUUGUCUGAUCGUUUCUGUAUUCAUUAUGGCUUGAAUAUCUCUCUGUCAGCAAAUGAUAUCGUAGCAUGCUGUGGCUAUUUAUGUGGGGAUGGUUGUGAUGGUGGAUAUCCAUUAGAAGCUUAGAAAUACUUUGUUCGCAAGGGUGUGGUCACUGAAGAGUGUGACCCUUACUUUGAUAAUAAGGGAUGUUCCCACCCUGGAUGUGAACCUACAUAUCGCACUCCACAGUGCAAGAGGAAGUGUGUUAAAGAGAAUCUACUCUGGAAUAAAUCCAAGCAUUUUGGCGUCAAUGCAUACCUGAUCAACUCCGAUCCGUACAGUAUCAUGACAGAAGUUUACAAGAAUGGACCAGUUGAGGUUUCUUUUACUGUUUACGAGGAUUUCGCUCACUACAAGUCUGGAGUUUACAAACACACAAAUGGUGAGGAAAUGGGAGGCCAUGCUGUUAAGCUCAUUGGAUGGGGAACCUCUGAGGAUGGAGAGGACUAUUGGCUCCUUGCCAAUCAAUGGAACAGAGGCUGGGGUGACGAUGGCUACUUCAAGAUCAGAAGAGGAACAAACGAGUGUGGCAUUGAAGAAGAAGUGGUUGCAGGAAUGCCUUCACCCAAAAACCUGAACGUGGAACUUGAUGUCUCUGAUGCUUUCCUCGACGCCUCAAUGUGAUUGCUAAUUCUUCAACUAAACACUAAAUAGGAUUCGAGUUUCUGAAGACUUGGGGAAUAAUAACAUUUUAAGUUUCAUAUUCUUCCCCUCUUAAGUUAUCUGCAACAUUUGUAAUCUGCAAUUGUUCCACAAUCUUAUCUAUCUUUAGAAGUGUUUUUCUUAUCUGUUAUGUAUUUCUUCACAAAUACUCUGUCAAUCUUGACAACGUUAAAAACAUUAUCAUAUAUUGUACUUGAUAUUAUCAAUGAAAUGUACUUAGACU
Molecule: RNA transcript, 1681 nt
Organism: Solanum verrucosum
Lineage: Eukaryota; Viridiplantae; Streptophyta; Magnoliopsida; Solanales; Solanaceae
Gene name: cathepsin B-like protease 3
Exons: 13
Source: RefSeq, a predicted model, not a curated record